RNAcentral lists this transfer RNA (230 nucleotides) under Ovis aries (sheep). Its description in RNAcentral is "miRNA (ENSOARG00000022957.1)". The stretch from base 1 to 74 matches the Rfam family "tRNA". Lineage: Eukaryota; Metazoa; Chordata; Mammalia; Artiodactyla; Bovidae. The record is from RNAcentral.
GACUGGUUAGCUCAGUUGGUUAGAGUGUGGUACUAAUAAUGCCAAGGUCAUGGGUUCGAUCCCCAUAUGGGCCAUUAAGUCUACUUUAGGGCUUCCCAGAUGGUGCUAGUAGUAAAGAACAUGCCAGUCAAGGCAGGAAAUGCAAGAUACAUGAGUUCAGUCUCUGGGCUGAGAAGAUCCCCUGAGGGAUGGCAUGGCAACCCACGCCAGUAUUCUUGCCUGGAGAAUCC